CUACGUGCCAGCAGCCGCGGUAAUACGUAGGUCCCGAGCGUUGUCCGGAUUUAUUGGGCGUAAAGCGAGCGCAGGCGGUUAGAUAAGUCUGAAGUUAAAGGCUGUGGCUUAACCAUAGUAUGCUUUGGAAACUGUUUAACUUGAGUGCAGAAGGGGAGAGUGGAAUUCCAUGUGUAGCGGUGAAAUGCGUAGAUAUAUGGAGGAACACCGGUGGCGAAAGCGGCUCUCUGGUCUGUAACUGACGCUGAGGCUCGAAAGCGUGGGGAGCAAACAGGAUUAGAUACCCUGGUAGUCCACGCCGUAAACGAUGAGUGCUAGGUGUUAGGCCCUUUCCGGGGCUUAGUGCCGCAGCUAACGCAUUAAGCACUCCGCCUGGGGAGUACGACCGCAAGGUUGAAACUCAAAGGAAUUGACGGGGGCCCGCACAAGCGGAGGAACAUGUGGUUUAAUUCGAUGAUACGCGAGGAACCUUACCCGGGCUUGAAUUGCAGACGAACGCUUCAGAGAUGAAG
RNAcentral lists this ribosomal RNA (512 nucleotides) under uncultured bacterium. RNAcentral's name for it is "bacterial SSU rRNA". It matches the Rfam family "Bacterial small subunit ribosomal RNA", at positions 501 to 1011 of the family's 1533-position model. The record is from RNAcentral.